RNAcentral lists this ribosomal RNA (400 nucleotides) under uncultured Blastocatella sp. Its description in RNAcentral is "bacterial SSU rRNA". It matches the Rfam family "Bacterial small subunit ribosomal RNA", at positions 354 to 771 of the family's 1533-position model. The record is from RNAcentral. Lineage: Bacteria; Pseudomonadati; Acidobacteriota; Blastocatellia; Blastocatellales; Blastocatellaceae.
GUCGGGAAUUUUGGGCAAUGGGCGAAAGCCUGACCCAGCAACGCCGCGUGAAGGAUGAAGUAUUUCGGUAUGUAAACUUCGAAAGAAUAGGAAGAAUAAAUGACGGUACUAUUUAUAAGCUCCGGCUAACUACGUGCCAGCAGCCGCGGUAAUACGUAGGGAGCAAGCGUUGUUCGGAUUUACUGGGCGUAAAGGGCGCGUAGGCGGCGCGGUAAGUCACUUGUGAAAUCUCUGAGCUUAACUCAGAACGGCCAAGUGAUACUGCAUUGCUAGAGUGCAGAAGGGGCAAUCGGAAUUCUUGGUGUAGCGGUGAAAUGCGUAGAUAUCAAGAGGAACACCUGAGGUGAAGACGGGUUGCUAGGCUGACACUGACGCUGAGGCGCGAAAGCUAGGGGAGCAA